CCGCAAGGUCUGUUACUGACUGGUUUGUUCUUCUUCGCAAAGACUGCGCGUGCUCUUCAUUGGGUGCGCGUAGGAUUUACGACGUUUACUUUGAAAAAAUUAGAGUGUUCAAAGCAGGCUAUCGCUUGAAUACAUGAGCAUGGAAUAAUGGAAUAGGACUUUGGUUCUAUUUUGUUGGUUUCUAGGACCGAAGUAAUGAUUAAGAGGGACAAUUGGGGGCAUCCGUAUUUCGUUGUCAGAGGUGAAAUUCUUGGAUUUACGAAAGACGAACAACUGCGAAAGCACUUGCCAAGAGUGUUUUCAUUAAUCAAGAACGAAAGUUAGAGGAUCGAAAACGGUCAGAUACCGUCCUAGUUCUAACCAUAAACGAUGUCGACUAGGGAUCAGCGGGCGUUAUUGUACGACCUCGUUGGCACCUUACGGGAAACCAAAGUUUUUGGAUUCCGGGGGAAGUAUGGUUGCAAAGCUGAAACUUAAAGGAAUUGACGGAAGGGCACCACCAGGAGU
This 507-nucleotide ribosomal RNA is filed under the name uncultured eukaryote. Its description in RNAcentral is "SSU rRNA". It matches the Rfam family "Eukaryotic small subunit ribosomal RNA", at positions 664 to 1177 of the family's 1831-position model. The record is from RNAcentral.